GUGUCUGAGCCUUCUUCCCUGUUCCCCCUCUCUAAUCCUUGCUAUCUGGGUGCUAGUGCUAUCUCAAUGCAAUGCACCUAGGCAAGGAUUCAGAGAGGGUGAGCUCGA
Dasypus novemcinctus (nine-banded armadillo) is the source of this 108-nucleotide microRNA precursor. Ensembl annotates it as microRNA 502. Lineage: Eukaryota; Metazoa; Chordata; Mammalia; Cingulata; Dasypodidae. The record is from Ensembl.